Molecule: ribosomal RNA, 699 nt
Filed under: uncultured dinoflagellate
Lineage: Eukaryota; Dinophyceae
Description: SSU rRNA
Rfam family: Eukaryotic small subunit ribosomal RNA
Source: RNAcentral
UUGGCCUACCGUGGCAAUGACGGGUAACGGAGAAUUAGGGUUCGAUUCCGGAGAGGGAGCCUGAGAAACGGCUACCACAUCUAAGGAAGGCAGCAGGCGCGCAAAUUACCCAAUCCUGACACAGGGAGUAGUAACAAGAAAUAACAAUACAGGGCAUCCAUGUCUUGUAAUUGGAAUGAGUAGAAUUUAAAUCCCUUUAUGAGUAUCAAUUGGAGGGCAAGUCUGGUGCCAGCAGCCGCGGUAAUUCCAGCUCCAAUAGCGUAUAUUAAAGUUGUUGCGGUUAAAAAGCUCGUAGUUGGAUUUCUGCCGAGGACGACCGGUCCGCCCACUGGGUGUGCAUCUGGCUCGGCCUGGGCAUCUUCCUGGAGAACGUAUCUGCACUUCAUUGUGUGGUGCGGUAUCCAGGACUUUUACUUUGAGGAAAUUAGAGUGUUUCAAGCAGGCACACGCCUUGAAUACAUUAGCAUGGAAUAAUAAUAUAGGACCUUGGUUCUAUUUUGUUGGUUUCUAGAACUGAGGUAAUGAUUAAUAGGGAUAGUUGGGGGCAUUCGUAUUUAACUGUCAGAGGUGAAAUUCUGGGAUUUGUUAAAGACGAACUACUGCGAAAGCACUUGCCAAGGAUGUUUUCAUUGAUCAAGAACGAAAGUUAGGGGAUCGAAGACGAUCGGAUACCGUCCUAGUCUUAACCAUAACCAUGCC